Molecule: unclassified non-coding RNA, 240 nt
Filed under: soil metagenome
Description: partial contains 5.8S ribosomal RNA, internal transcribed spacer 2, and large subunit ribosomal RNA
Source: RNAcentral
AAGACUAUAGACCUGCGGAGUACCUGCGGAAGGAUCAUUACAGAAUUGUUCGAAUCCAUACGGACACAUUCUUAAAAUCCGUAUCCACACCGGCAGGGCUUUCGGGCCUUUGCCGUAGGGUUCCUCUUUUCUCUUUCUCUGUUAGGGAAGGAGAGGGGGGUUCCUGUCUGACCUUUGCCUAUAAUUUUAAUUUUGUCUGAACUUUUAUUUUAUUAUAAAAUAAAAACAACUUUUAACAAU